UACGGAGGGUGCAAGCGUUAUCCGGAUUCACUGGGUUUAAAGGGUGCGUAGGUGGGCUAGUAAGUCCGUGGUGAAAUCUCUGAGCUUAACUCGGAAACUGCCGUGGAUACUAUUAGUCUUGAAUCUCGUGGAGGUAAGCGGAAUAUGUCAUGUAGCGGUGAAAUGCUUAGAUAUGACAUAGAACACCGAUAGCGAAGGCAGCUUGCUACACGAGUAUUGACACUGAGGCACGAAAAGCGUGGGGGAUCAAACAGG
This 255-nucleotide ribosomal RNA is filed under the name uncultured bacterium. RNAcentral's name for it is "partial 16S ribosomal RNA". It matches the Rfam family "Bacterial small subunit ribosomal RNA", at positions 524 to 776 of the family's 1533-position model. The record is from RNAcentral.